AUAAUAGUACCUGUUCCUAUGUGGAAGAUAUUCUAACAUGGGGACAUAAAAAAGGGCUGCGAAAUAACCAAUGUGGAAGGCCUUAAACCUCAGUGUUUGUGUUAAUUUAGAAUGGAACUCUUGCUAAUUUAGAAUGCCAACACUGUGCUAAAAGAGUGUUUCUACAGGGGAACUUCAUAACCACCGACCAACCCCAGAAUGGAGAGCUGGUGCAGAAUCUGCUGCUCCUGCUGAGGAUCUCAGCAUGAAGCUGUCCUGUCUGUGGGAUUGCAGGGGUGUCCAUGCUCUGCACCACCUUGAACAAGGGGUCCAUGCUAUUUUCCAAGGAAACACUGCACCUACAGCAGACAAUUAAAAACAAGACCCAAACUCAGAGAGAGAGAGAGAGAGAGAGAGAGAGAGAGAGAGACACAGAGAGAGAGAGAGAGAGAGAGAGAGAGAGAGAGAGAGAGAGAGAGAGAGAGAACGAGAACACCAUGGGGAGGGUGGCCUUUCCCAACCCCUGCAGCACCCAGACCCUGGUGGGGUGGGUGGGUAUGAACCAU
Molecule: long non-coding RNA, 545 nt
Filed under: Rattus norvegicus (Norway rat)
Lineage: Eukaryota; Metazoa; Chordata; Mammalia; Rodentia; Muridae
Description: long non-coding RNA NONRATT023885
Source: RNAcentral